UACGUAGGGGGCAAGCGUUGUCCGGAUUUAUUGGGCGUAAAGAGCGUGUAGGCGGCCAGGUAGGUCCGUUGUGAAAACUCGAGGCUCAACCUCGAGACGUCGGCGGAAACCCUCUGGCUAGAGUCCGGAAGAGGAGAGUGGAAUUCCUGGUGUAGCGGUGAAAUGCGCAGAUAUCAGGAAGAACACCCGUGGCGAAGGCGGCUCUCUGGGACGGUACUGACGCUGAGACGCGGAAGCGUGGGGAGCAAACAGG
RNAcentral lists this ribosomal RNA (253 nucleotides) under uncultured bacterium. Its description in RNAcentral is "partial 16S ribosomal RNA". It matches the Rfam family "Bacterial small subunit ribosomal RNA", at positions 524 to 776 of the family's 1533-position model. The record is from RNAcentral.